UUGGAGGGCAAGUGUGGUGCCAGCAGCCGCGGUAAUUCCAGCUGCAACAGUGUAUAUGUAAGUUGCCGCAGUUAAACAGCUUGUAGAUGAAUUCCGUGGUCAGUAGAUUGGUCGUGCCAUUGGUAUGUACUGGUCUUCCUGGCUCCUCGUUCAUGAUGAACCGUAAAGCCAUUAAUUUGGUGGUGCGGGGAGAGUGGACGGUGAAUUUGAAAAAAUUACAGUGUUUAAACCAGGUUUACGCUUGAAUACAUUAGCAUGGAAUAAUGAAAUAGGACGUUCGAUUUUAUUUUGUUGGUUUCUAGGAUUGACGUAAUGCAUAAUAGGGAUAGUUGGGGGCAUUAGUAUUCAAUCGUCAGAGGUGAAAUUUGCGGAUUUAUUGAAGAUUAAGUGGAGUGAAAGCAUUUGCCAAGGAUGUUUUCAUUAAUCAAGAAGGACAGUUAGGGGACAGAAGACGAUCAGAUACCGUCGUAGUCUUAACCAUAUGCAUAUGCCGACUAGGGAUCUGUUGAUGUUAAUUUUUCAAUGACUCGUUCGGGACUUCACGGGAAAC
Molecule: ribosomal RNA, 550 nt
Filed under: uncultured Glomus
Lineage: Eukaryota; Fungi; Glomeromycota; Glomeromycetes; Glomerales; Glomeraceae
Description: SSU rRNA
Rfam family: Eukaryotic small subunit ribosomal RNA
Source: RNAcentral